UUCCCUGCUCUCUUCUCCCUGAAGCUAACGUCUCUGAACAGACUGGAUUAAGUCCAAAGGACGCAAUUAAAUACUUCUUUGACCAGUGGGUUUUGCUGCAGGAAUGGAAGUGGCCGAACAGUGUGCGCAGGUCCAUACUUUGGUUCUUUUGUUGUCUCAUCUUGGUGCUAAGCUUCCUGCCUGGCUGCAGCGUCUCAGAUGGGAAUCACCUUUCUGUUGGUGGCCCAUGAUGAGCAACAGCCUGGAUGCUUCUUAGGAUAAGGUUUCAUGAAAUCUUGCAGCUGCCUGCAAAAGAGUAGACCCUUCACUGAGGAUACUAUGGUCUAAUGGUUCCCCUUUCAUUCACUUUGGUCAAUGGACAACCAGUCUGUAUCAUCAAAGAGGCAAAAUAUUAACCCAGGGGAAGACAAGAAGAAAUAAAAGUUUUGUUUAGUGAGCUGGUCUGGCUUGC
Molecule: long non-coding RNA, 451 nt
Filed under: Struthio camelus australis
Lineage: Eukaryota; Metazoa; Chordata; Aves; Struthioniformes; Struthionidae
Description: lncRNA (ENSSCUG00000017745.1)
Source: RNAcentral